AGUGAACGCUGGCGGUAGGCCUAACACAUGCAAGUCGAACGGCAGCACAGUAAGAGCUUGCUCUUACGGGUGGCGAGUGGCGGACGGGUGAGGAAUACAUCGGAAUCUACUUUUUCGUGGGGGAUAACGUAGGGAAACUUACGCUAAUACCGCAUACGACCUACGGGUGAAAGCAGGGGAUCUUCGGACCUUGCGCGAUUGAAUGAGCCGAUGUCGGAUUAGCUAGUUGGCGGGGUAAAGGCCCACCAAGGCAACGAUCCGUAGCUGGUCUGAGAGGAUGAUCAGCCACACUGGAACUGAGACACGGUCCAGACUCCUACGGGAGGCAGCAGUGGGGAAUAUUGGACAAUGGGCGCAAGCCUGAUCCAGCCAUACCGCGUGGGCGAAGAAGGCCUUCGGGUUGUAAAGCCCUUUUGUUGGGAAAGAAAAGCAGCAGGUUAAUACCCCGCUGUUCUGACGGUACCCAAAGAAUAAGCACCGGCUAACUUCGUG
Molecule: ribosomal RNA, 492 nt
Filed under: uncultured bacterium
Lineage: Bacteria
Description: partial 16S ribosomal RNA
Rfam family: Bacterial small subunit ribosomal RNA
Source: RNAcentral